UGUAUCUAGACUGGUCCCAGAUCUGUGGUGAGGUUUCUAAAUGUGGUGUAGCUACAGACUGUAAUGUAUCUAGAGACUGGUCCCAGAUCUGUGGUGAGGUUUCUAAAUGUGGUGUAGCUACAGACUGUAAUGUAUCUAGAGACUGGUCCCAGAUCUGUGGUGAGGUUUCUAAAUGUGGUGUAGCUACAGACUGUAAUGUAUCUAGAGACUGGUCCCAGAUCUGUGGUGAGGUUUCUAAAUGUGGUGUAGCUACAGACUGUAAUGUAUCUAGAGACUGGUCCCAGAUCUGUGGUGAGGUUUCUAAAUGUGGUGUAGCUACAGACUGUAAUGUAUCUAGAGACUGGUCCCAGAUCUGUGGUGAGGUUUCUAAAUGUGGUGUAGCUACAGACUGUAAUGUAUCUAGAGACUGGUCCCAGAUCUGUGGUGAGGUUUCUAAAUGUGGUGUAGCUACAGACUGUAAUGUAUCUAGAGACUGGUCCCAGAUCUGUGGUGAGGUUUCUAAAUGUGGUGUAGCUACAGACUGUAAUGUAUCUAGAGACUGGUCCCAGAUCUGUGGUGAGGUUUCUAAAUGUGGUGUAGCUACAGACUGUAAUGUAUCUAGAGACUGGUCCCAGAUCUGUGGUGAGGUUUCUAAAUGUGGUGUAGCUACAGACUGUAAUGUAUCUAGAGACUGGUCCCAGAUCUGUGGUGAGGUUUCUAAAUGUGGUGUAGCUACAGACUGUAAUGUAUCUAGAGACUGGUCCCAGAUCUGUGGUGAGGUUUCUAAAUGUGGUGUAGCUACAGACUGUAAUGUAUCUAGAGACUGGUCCCAGAUCUGUGGUAGGUAUGAAUGUUAAAUCCGAGGCAACAGCAAACUUGUAUUUCUGCAUUGUGUUCCCUUUCCCAGUACAGUAUUGGACUCCACUAUUGUACUGUCAAACAUGACAUGUGACAAUGACCAUGGGAGUUGACUUGGCAAAUCUGGAACCAGGAAAGGCUGGAAAUAUUUGGGGGAUUUCUGAAGCUGCCAUUUUCCACCUAAACCCAUGCUUAACACAUUUACCAUCCAACCCUCUCUCUCUCUCUCUCUCUCUCUCUCUCUCUCUCUCUCUCUCUCUCUCUCUCUCUCUCUCUCUCUCUCUCUCUCUCUCUCUCUCUCUCUCUCUCUCUCUCUCUCUCAGGCCUGUUCCUCUGUGCUAUAUCUGUCUCUUAUCAGACCUGGCUCUCUCACAGCCCCUCUCCUCUCUCCUC
Oncorhynchus keta (chum salmon) is the source of this 1230-nucleotide long non-coding RNA. RefSeq lists it as uncharacterized. The record is from RefSeq and is a predicted model, not a curated record. The transcript has 5 exons. Lineage: Eukaryota; Metazoa; Chordata; Actinopteri; Salmoniformes; Salmonidae.